UGCGAUACUUGGUGUGAAUUGCAGAAUCCCGUGANCCAUNGAGUUUUUGAACGCAAGUUGCGCCCGAAGCCUUAGGGCCUAGGGCACGAAUGCCUUGGCGUCACGCA
This 107-nucleotide ribosomal RNA is filed under the name Pachystachys lutea. RNAcentral describes it as "partial 5.8S ribosomal RNA". It matches the Rfam family "5.8S ribosomal RNA", at positions 54 to 154 of the family's 154-position model. From Rfam's summary of the family: 5.8S ribosomal RNA (5.8S rRNA) is a component of the large subunit of the eukaryotic ribosome. It is transcribed by RNA polymerase I as part of the 45S precursor that also contains 18S and 28S rRNA. The record is from RNAcentral. Lineage: Eukaryota; Viridiplantae; Streptophyta; Magnoliopsida; Lamiales; Acanthaceae.